Molecule: ribosomal RNA, 492 nt
Filed under: uncultured bacterium
Lineage: Bacteria
Description: partial 16S ribosomal RNA
Rfam family: Bacterial small subunit ribosomal RNA
Source: RNAcentral
AGUGAACGCUGGCGGUAGGCCUAACACAUGCAAGUCGAACGGCAGCACAGUAAGAGCUUGCUCUUACGGGUGGCGAGUGGCGGACGGGUGAGGAAUACAUCGGAAUCUACUUUUUCGUGGGGGAUAACGUAGGGAAACUUACUCUAAUACCGCAUACGACCUACGGGUGAAAGCAGUGGAUCUUUGGACCUUGCGCGAUUGAAUGAGCCGAUGUGGGAGUUGCUAGUUGGCGGGGUAAAGGCCCACCAAGGCGACGAUCCGUAGCUGGUGUGAGAGGAUGGUCGGCCACACUGGAACGGAACCAGGGUCCAGACUCCUACGGGAGGGAGCAGUGGGGAAUAUUGGACAAUGGGCGCAAGCAUGAUCCAGCCAUACCGCGUGGGUGAAGAAGGCCUUCGGGUUGUAAAGCCCUUUUGUUGGGAAAGAAAAGCAGCAGGUUAAUACCCCGCUGUUCUGACGGUACCCAAAGAAUAAGCACCGGCUAACCUCGUG